Homo sapiens (human) is the source of this 1873-nucleotide long non-coding RNA. NCBI's taxonomy places the organism in Eukaryota, Metazoa, Chordata, Mammalia, Primates, Hominidae. The record is from Ensembl.
AGGAGGCUUCUGCCUGGAAACAGUAGGCGGUGGUGUGUGUGGUGGAUCCUUCACCAGUGGUUAAUCUUCUUGAUGCUGAUCUGAUAUCCCAUCAGGGCCCUGGAUCCCAAGACUCAGCAUCCAAGGUCCCCUCCAGGAAUCCUGGCAGCUCAGCAUACUUUAUCCUGUUUCAUCUGAGAGCAAAAAUGUAAAAUUGGAUGCACAGAAAAGUGACUCAAAGUGCUUAAUGACUAGAAGAAAUCUAGGAGCAGCAAGAAGAGCAGGACAAACAGGCCAGGCGGUGUCAGGAGCCCAGGUCUCCAGCUGGAGGGAACGUCAACCCUGCGGUGGGAGUAGGGGCCCUUUGCACAUCCUAGGCACAGAUGGUAAUGUAGACACCACAGAUCAUAAAGGAGAACAGCAAGAGGUCCCCAGCAAACAUCCACAGAUGGCCUUGGAACCUCACCCUGCAGGAAUGCCAGUGAACAUACUGCUGACAUCUUGGAGCUCAGUACCCUCAUAGUGUAACGGCGUCAGUAGAUCUGCCUGUGCUUGGACUUCCUGUACUACCCAUUCCUGAGGGGCGAUGCUUCUGCAGGGCCUGUGACUUGGUGCACAACUUCAGACACCAUCAUCUUGCAGCAGCACCGCACCCUCACUAGCCAGGGUGUUGAUGACUUCCUCAAGGCCAAGGCCACAUUCAAGGCUUCGGACUUUAUUGAUGCGCUUGUGCUGAGCAAGGUGGCUUCUCCAGGAUCUUAAUUCAGGAGCCUCAGUGUAUGGGCGCUGUUCAUCCUCUGGUGCUGAAGCAGCCAAGAGACCCAAGUCUGCCUGGCUGCCUCUUAGGAUAUGACAGCAGAGCCAGUGGCCUCUACUAGAUCCUGUACAACCUCACAAAACACCCAGACAUCGGGAGUGCUGCCAGCCUGUGAUGCAAGAGUCCUAAUCCUGAAGACAUUGAAUGACCUGUCAUUCUGCUGUUUUUACCAAAAAGGAUCAUGAGGAUCAGAGAGGAAAAGUCACUUGCCCAAAGUCACACAGCUGAACAGUGGUGGAGUUCAACUUUGACCAUGGGCUGUCUGGCCCCAAGGUGUAUGCUUGCUUCUCUCCCAAGAGACUCCUUUCUUAUCAGGCUCAAAUGAAUGAAAGGAGGAUGUUAAAGUUCCUAGAAGCUUUAAUUGAAUGAAAGUUCCUAGUAGAUCUGUACCUACUAAAAACCACACUUCUGAAGCUACGUGGCCACCAGAAGACACAGCUAGUCUGCCAUGUAAAAAAGGAAAGGUGGCGUGUGCCCUGAAGGCGCAGGGGUGAGAGGCAGGGAAAUGGAGACCCCAACAGCCAGCAUCAGUGGCCCUCAUCACAGCCCUCCAGGAGAUAUCAAAGGAGGUCAGACCUUGGACAGUAGUCUUGACUUCCUGCUAUAGAACACAUUGUUAACACUGAAAAAGAUGAUCUGUUCUAGGGGAAUGGUGAAAGCUGACUCUAGCACUUGUGCUUUUUGUUUGUUUGUUUGAGAUUUGAGUCUUGCUCUUGUUUCCCAGGCUGCAGUGCAAUGCGUGAUCUCAGCUCACUGCAGGCUCUGCCUCCUGGGUUCCAGCUAUUGUCCUGCCUCAGCCUCCCGAGUAGCUGGGAUUCCAGGUGCCCGCAAGUGUGCCUGGCUAAUUUUUAUGUUUUUAGUAGAGAUGGGAUUUCGCCAUCUUGGCCAGGCUGUUCUCCACCUCCUGACCUUGGCCAAAGUGUUGGGAUUACAGGCAUAAGCCAUUGUGCCAGGCCUGUGUUUUUAAUUUCAUCAUGGCACAGCUUCAAAAUGACAUCUAAGUAGCUGACAUAAAAAUGAAAAUUCUGUGUACUUUGAUAUUAGCAGGCUUCAAAUACAAACCAGAAUAUGAGUAAA